This 253-nucleotide ribosomal RNA is filed under the name uncultured bacterium. RNAcentral's name for it is "partial 16S ribosomal RNA". It matches the Rfam family "Bacterial small subunit ribosomal RNA", at positions 524 to 776 of the family's 1533-position model. The record is from RNAcentral.
UACGGAGGGUGCAAGCGUUAUCCGGAUUUACUGGGGUUAAAGGGUGCGUAGGUGGAUAGGUAAGUCAGUGGUGAAAUCUCCGAGCUUAACUCGGAAACUGCCAUUGAUACUAUAAGUCUUGAAUCAUCUGGAGGUAAGCGGAAUAUGUCAUGUAGCGGUGAAAUGCUUAGAUAUGACAUAGAACACCAAUUGCGAAGGCAGCUUACUACCGAUGUAUUGACACUGAGGCACGAAAGCGUGGGGAGCAAACAGG